UACGUAGGUGGCAAGCGUUGUCCGGAAUUAUUGGGCGUAAAGCGCGCGCAGGCGGUCCUUUAAGUCUGAUGUGAAAGCCCACGGCUCAACCGUGGAGGGUCAUUGGAAACUGGGGGACUUGAGUACAGAAGAGAAGAGUGGAAUUCCACGUGUAGCGGUGAAAUGCGUAGAGAUGUGGAGGAACACCAGUGGCGAAGGCGACUCUUUGGUCUGUAACUGACGCUGAGGCGCGAAAGCGUGGGGAGCAAAAGGG
Molecule: ribosomal RNA, 253 nt
Filed under: uncultured bacterium
Lineage: Bacteria
Description: partial 16S ribosomal RNA
Rfam family: Bacterial small subunit ribosomal RNA
Source: RNAcentral